CUGUGCGGAUCAAUUCUGUCAUGCCCUCUGUUACCUAUCGAGUACUCCUUAGUACUCCAUUGGUCGCAAAGGGCUUCUUAGAUGUCUGUCCACAUCUAAUGAUCUAUGUAAGACUUUCAAUCCGAUAGUGACUCAGAACUGGAGUGCUCUAUGGCAGACUAUCGAAGGCUGUACCAUCUAUUCUAGAACCUCCACAUGGUCACCUCCUUGAAGAUCCGAC
Molecule: long non-coding RNA, 220 nt
Filed under: Elaeis guineensis (African oil palm)
Lineage: Eukaryota; Viridiplantae; Streptophyta; Magnoliopsida; Arecales; Arecaceae
Description: long non-coding RNA (EGUI_LNC008191)
Source: RNAcentral